RNAcentral lists this ribosomal RNA (253 nucleotides) under uncultured bacterium. Its description in RNAcentral is "partial 16S ribosomal RNA". It matches the Rfam family "Bacterial small subunit ribosomal RNA", at positions 524 to 776 of the family's 1533-position model. The record is from RNAcentral.
UACGAAGGGGGCUAGCGUUGUUCGGAAUUACUGGGCGUAAGGGGCGCGUAGGCUGUGCUGUAAGUCAGGCGUGAAAUCCCCGGGCUCAACCUGGGAAUUGCGUUUGAUACUGCGGCGCUGGAAUGCAGGAGAGGAUGGCGGGAUUCCCAGUGUAGAGGUGAAAUUCGUAGAUAUUGGGAAGAACACCGGUGGCGAAGGCGGCCAUCUGGCCUGUAAUUGACGCUGAGGCGCGAAAGCGUGGGGAGCAAACAGG